This 439-nucleotide ribosomal RNA is filed under the name uncultured bacterium. RNAcentral describes it as "partial 16S ribosomal RNA". It matches the Rfam family "Bacterial small subunit ribosomal RNA", at positions 339 to 795 of the family's 1533-position model. The record is from RNAcentral.
CUACGGGGGGCACCAGUGAGGAAUAUUGCACAAUGGGGGGAACCCUGAUGCAGCAACGCCGCGUGGAGGAUGACGCAUUUCGGUGUGUAAACUCCUUUUAUAUGUCAAGAAAAUGACGGUAGCAUAUGAAUAGGCACCGGCUAACUCCGUGCCAGCAGCCGCGGUAAUACGGAGGGUGCAAGCGUUACUCGGAAUCACUGGGCGUAAAGGACGCGUAGGCGGGUUGGAAAGUCAGGUGUGAAAUCCUACAGCUUAACUGUAGAACUGCACUUGAAACUUCUAAUCUAGAGUAUGGGAGGGGGAGAGGGAAUUAGUGGUGUAGGGGUAAAAUCCGUAGAUAUCACUAGGAAUACCUAAAGCGAAGGCGAUCUCCUGGAACAUUACUGACGCUAAGGCGUGAAAGCGUGGGGAGCAAACAGGAUUAGAUACCCGAGUAGUC